RNAcentral lists this microRNA precursor (208 nucleotides) under Oryza sativa Indica Group (long-grained rice). Its description in RNAcentral is "MIR812 microRNA precursor family". It matches the Rfam family "MIR812 microRNA precursor family". Lineage: Eukaryota; Viridiplantae; Streptophyta; Magnoliopsida; Poales; Poaceae. The record is from Rfam by way of RNAcentral.
AAUAAGUAUAGUUUUGCACUAUUCACGUUCAACGUUUAACCGUUCGUCUUAUUUGAAAUUUUUUUAUAAUUAGUAUUUUUAUUGCUAUUAAAUGAUAAAACAUGAAUAAUACUUUAUGUGUGACUAAAUAUUUUUAAAUUUUUUAUAAAUUUUUUAAAUAAAACGGACGGUCAAAUGUUGGGCACGGAUAUCUAUGGCUAUACUUAUU